AGUGAACGCUGGCGGUAGGCCUAACACAUGCAAGUCGAACGGCAGCACAGUAGGAUCUUGCUCUUACGGGUGGCGAGUGGCGGACGGGUGAGGAAUACAUCGGAAUCUACUUUUUCGUGGGGGAUAACGUAGGGAAACUUACGCUAAUAUCGCAUACGACCUACGGUUGAAAGCAGGGGAUCUUCGGACCUUUCGCGAUUGAAUGAGCCGAUGUCGGAUUAGCUAGUUGGCGGGGUAAAGGCCCACCAAGGCGACGAUCCGUAGCUGGUCUGAGAGGAUGAUCAGCCACACUGGAACGGAGACACGGUCAAGACUCCUAAGGGAGGCAGCAGUGGGGAAUAUUGGGCAAUGGGCGCAAGCCUGAUCCAGCCAUACCGCGUGGGUGAAGAAGGCCUUCGGGUUGUAAAGCCCUUUUGUUGGGAAAGAAAAGCAGCAGGUUAAUACCCCGCUGUUCUGACGGUACCCAAAGAAUAAGCACCGGCUAACUUCGUG
Molecule: ribosomal RNA, 492 nt
Filed under: uncultured bacterium
Lineage: Bacteria
Description: partial 16S ribosomal RNA
Rfam family: Bacterial small subunit ribosomal RNA
Source: RNAcentral